CAUCACUAAAUCUUCAAGUUUGCUAUAAGCAGAUAAUGGUUAAACGUUUCAAUUUUCAACGAUACGAAGUUAUGUUCUGAUCGAUACGUGCAUACCUGGCUUACCGUUACCGGCUCUUGGAUUUUGGUGGUCCGCGGCCUUAUCUCAACAUCCUAUAUCGAGGAAGAGAAAAAAGCAUCGACGUUUUAGCGUUUCUAUUGUGCGUCUCGCGUUGUGUACACGAAUAUAUCGCUGAUGGAAUAAUCGUGAUAUAAGAUAAUGAUCUUUCUCCCUCUUUCUCUAGAUAGCGUGUUAAUGUUUUCAAAGAAUGCAAGUGCGAGCAGCGAAAUUACUUAUAUUGUGAAUCUAUCGUAUUAUUAAGAGUGA
Trachymyrmex cornetzi is the source of this 366-nucleotide long non-coding RNA. RefSeq lists it as uncharacterized. Lineage: Eukaryota; Metazoa; Arthropoda; Insecta; Hymenoptera; Formicidae. The transcript is spliced from 2 exons. The record is from RefSeq and is a predicted model, not a curated record.